GACGAACGCUGGCGGCGUGCUUAACACAUGCAAGUCGAACGGAAAGGCCCUGCUUUUGUGGGGUGCUCGAGUGGCGAACGGGUGAGUAACACGUGAGUAACCUGCCCUUGACUUUGGGAUAACUUCAGGAAACUGGGGCUAAUACCGGAUAGGAGCUCCUGCUGCAUGGGGGGGGUUGGAAAGUUUCGGCGGGUGGGGAUGGACUCUCGGCUUACUAGCUUGUUGGUUGGGGAGUGGCUUAGCAAGGCAUUGACGGGUAGCCGGCCUGAGAGGGUGGACGGCCACAUGGGGACUGAGAUACGGCGCAGACUCCUACGGGAGGCAGCAGGGGGGAAUAUUGCACAAUGGGCGGAAGCCUGAUGCAGCAACGCCGCGUGCGGGAUGACGGCCUUCGGGUUGUAAACCGCUUUCGCCUGUGACGAAGCGUGAGUGACGGUAAUGGGUGAAGAAGCACCGGCUAACUACGUG
Molecule: ribosomal RNA, 468 nt
Filed under: uncultured bacterium
Lineage: Bacteria
Description: partial 16S ribosomal RNA
Rfam family: Bacterial small subunit ribosomal RNA
Source: RNAcentral